AGUGAACGCUGGCGGUAGGCCUAACACAUGCAAGUCGAACGGCAGCACAGUAAGAGCUUGCUCUUACGGGUGGCGAGUGGCGGACGGGUGAGGAAUACAUCGGAAUCUACUUUUUCGUGGGGGAUAACGUAGGGAAACUUACGCUAAUACCGCAUACGACCUACGGGUGAAAGCAGGGGAUCCUCGGACCUUGCGCGAUUGAAUGAGCCGAUGUCGGAUUAGCUAGUUGGCGGGGUAAAGGCCCACCAAGGCGACGAUCCGUAGCUGGUCUGAGAGGAUGAUCAGCCACACGGGAACUGAGACACGGUCCAGACUCCUACGGGAGGCAGCAGUGGGGAAUAUUGGACAAUGGGCGCAAGCCUGAGCCAGCCAUACCGCGUGGGUGAAGAAGGCCUUCGGGUUGUAAAGCCCUUUUGUUGGGAAAGAAAAGCAGCAGGUUAAUACCCCGCUGUUCUGACGGUACCCAAAGAAUAAGCACCGGCUAACUGCGU
RNAcentral lists this ribosomal RNA (491 nucleotides) under uncultured bacterium. Its description in RNAcentral is "partial 16S ribosomal RNA". It matches the Rfam family "Bacterial small subunit ribosomal RNA", at positions 29 to 506 of the family's 1533-position model. The record is from RNAcentral.